Molecule: ribosomal RNA, 599 nt
Filed under: uncultured Actinomycetes bacterium
Lineage: Bacteria; Bacillati; Actinomycetota; Actinomycetes
Description: bacterial SSU rRNA
Rfam family: Bacterial small subunit ribosomal RNA
Source: RNAcentral
GAGAGGUAACGGCUCACCAAGGCAUCGACGGGUAGCUGGUCUGAGAGGAUGAUCAGCCACACUGGAACUGAGACACGGUCCAGACUCCUACGGGAGGCAGCAGUGGGGAAUCUUGCACAAUGGGCGAAAGCCUGAUGCAGCGAUGCCGCGUGCGGGAAGAAGGCCCUAGGGUUGUAAACCGCUUUCAGGAGGGAAGAAAAUGACGGUACCUCCAGAAGAAGGUGCGGCCAACUACGUGCCAGCAGCCGCGGUGACACGUAGGCACCAAGCGUUAUCCGGAUUUAUUGGGCGUAAAGAGCUCGUAGGCGGUUUGGUAAGUCGGGUGUGAAAACUCUGGGCUCAACCCAGAGAGGCCACUCGAUACUGCUAUGACUAGAGUACGGUAGGGGAGCGGGGAAUUCCUGGUGUAGCGGUGAAAUGCGCAGAUAUCAGGAGGAACACCAGCGGCGAAGGCGCCGCUCUGGGCCGUAACUGACGCUGAGGAGCGAAAGCAUGGGUAGCAAACAGGAUUAGAUACCCUGGUAGUCCACGCCGUAAACGGUGGGCACUAGGUGUGGGGACUUUCAACGGUCUCUGCGCCGAAGCUAACGCAUUAAGUG